AACUUCCCUGUUGUAACACUUAAGGGAACCUUUUGGAUGAGAUUUAGCUGAAGAAGAUGAGCGUUGGUGCCAUAAUAAGGCUGCGUCUUGACCACCUGGUUGACCAGGUUUUUACCCUUGGAAACAGCCUCUCUACUUGGAGAGGUGAGGCUGCAUAUGCUGAGCUCUCUAGAUCUGGCAUUGCAGGAGUCCUGUGCAUUGCUUGCUCAUUUAUUUUUUAAGAAAACAUCUCAAACUAGUAUAUGAUUGCAAUUGAAUAAUGCAUUUGAAAUUUGGUGCUGGACAUAUUAAACAUUGUUCUGGUGGUGGUGUAUUGGACCCACUUACUAAAGGUUGAGGGUUCAAAUUCUCACCCAAUACAUUUUCCCCACUUAUCAAAGGUUGAGGGUUUGAAUCUUUGUCUGAGAUUUCUUUUGAAGGUGUCAGGCUAUCAGCUAGCUUAGCUGGUAAAGAUCCUGACAGUAUAUCGUAAGGUUCUGAGCUCAAAUCUCGCCUUAAGCACUUACCCUUUGCAACAAAUCAAUAUUACUAGUUCUUUUUAAUGUUUUCCAAUUCUUGCAUACUAAUAUGGAACUUUGUGAUGAUUAAGUCCAUAUUUCAAAUAUUUUUGUAGACCAUCUGGAUAAUUCUUGUUAUUUGCUCAAAGUUUAAGUACAGCAUUAUAAUUGAUACUGAUUCCAGAUUCUCCUAGAAUCAUGCUGAUUGAUUAUUCAAAUAGACAACUCCCAAGGCAUUGUAUAGUUACCAGUUGAUUAUUAGAAGACCAAACAAACUUCCCUGUUGUAACACUUAAGGGAACCUUUUGGAUGAGAUUUAGCUGAAGAAGAUGAGCAUUGGUGCCAUAAUAAGGUUGCGUCUUUACCACCUGGUUGACCAGGUUUUACCCUUGGAAACAGCCCUUCUACUUGGAGAGGUGAGGCUGCAUAUGCUGAGCUCUCUAGAUCUGGCAUUGCAGGAGUCCUGUGCAUUGCUUGCUCAUUUAUUUUUUAAGAAAACAUCUCAAACUAGUAUAUGAUUGCAAUUGAAUAAUGCAUUUGAAAUUUGGUGCUGGUACUGUCUCACACUUAUUAAUAUGUAUCAUGGAGUAUCUAUAUGACUGUAUCUGCUUGUCUCUUGGAAGUUUGAAGGUGUUGACAUAUAUUGUUCUGUUUUAAUAUCUCCUUUACUUGGGAAAACUUGCUUUGAAGCUCUAUCUUUUCUCUUUUU
This 1206-nucleotide long non-coding RNA is filed under the name Musa acuminata (dwarf banana). RNAcentral describes it as "long non-coding RNA (MACU_LNC011727)". Lineage: Eukaryota; Viridiplantae; Streptophyta; Magnoliopsida; Zingiberales; Musaceae. The record is from RNAcentral.